GUGCUCACUUCGGCAGCACUUAUACUAAAACUGGAACGAUAUAGAGAUUAGCAUGGCCCCUGCACAAGGAUGACACACAAAUCCGUGAAGUGUUCCAUAUUUUC
Molecule: small nuclear RNA, 104 nt
Filed under: Sus scrofa (pig)
Lineage: Eukaryota; Metazoa; Chordata; Mammalia; Artiodactyla; Suidae
Source: RNAcentral